RNAcentral lists this ribosomal RNA (604 nucleotides) under uncultured fungus. RNAcentral's name for it is "eukaryotic LSU rRNA". It matches the Rfam family "Eukaryotic large subunit ribosomal RNA", at positions 23 to 641 of the family's 3401-position model. Lineage: Eukaryota; Fungi. The record is from RNAcentral.
ACCCGCUGAACUUAAGCAUAUCAAUAAGCGGAGGAAAAGAAACCAACAGGGAUUGCCCUAGUAACGGCGAGUGAAGCGGCAAGAGCUCAAAUUUGAAAUCUGGCCCCCUUGGGGGUCCGAGUUGUAAUUUGCAGAGGGUGCUUUGGCGUUGGCUGUGGUCUAAGUUCCUUGGAACAGGACGUCGCAGAGGGUGAGAAUCCCGUAUGUGGCCGCCAGCCUCCGCCGUGUAAAGCCCCUUCGACGAGUCGAGUUGUUUGGGAAUGCAGCUCUAAAUGGGAGGUAAAUUUCUUCUAAAGCUAAAUACUGGCCAGAGACCGAUAGCGCACAAGUAGAGUGAUCGAAAGAUGAAAAGCACUUUGGAAAGAGAGUCAAAAAGCACGUGAAAUUGUUGAAAGGGAAGCGCUUGCAGCCAGACUUGCCUGUAGUUGCUCAUCCGGGCUCUUGCCCGGUGCACUCUUCUGCGGGCAGGCCAGCAUCAGUCCGGGCGGUUGGAUAAAUGCCUGCUAAAUGUACCUCUCCUCGGGGAGGACUUAUAGGGCAGGCGGCAUACAACCAGCCUGGACUGAGGUCCGCGCAUCUGCUAGGAUGCUGGCGUAAUGGCUGU